Aspergillus nidulans FGSC A4 is the source of this 93-nucleotide small nucleolar RNA. The record is from Rfam. NCBI's taxonomy places the organism in Eukaryota, Fungi, Ascomycota, Eurotiomycetes, Eurotiales, Aspergillaceae.
UCAUAUGAUGAACUGUUUAUUCACACUGUUUGACCCUGCACUCUGUGCUGGGAAUGAACAUCACUUACAAAAAUCUGAUUUAAUGAGGUGAGU